CCGGAAAUGAGUGGCUAUAUAACAUUCAUUCAUCUACAACUUCAACCAAACCAUCUCAGUCCUCGGUUAAGCCGGUUCUAUAUCCUCCUAGUCCGCUGCCAUCAUUUAAAACGUCAUUCACGGCCCAAAAACCAUCUCCAUCACCUAAAGGACUGACACCACCUAAAUCAACCACACCGUCUCCGAAACCCUCUUCCUCGUCUUCUAAGCCAUGUCCAUCCCUUAAGCCAACUCUAUCGGAACUAGGGAAAGGAACGUACAAAGCAGUCUAUCCAAAGGAUGCGUUACCGAUUUACAUGAUUCCGAAGGAUAUCGAGGAUUUAAUCAAGAGAGACAUUGUGCCUGAAGUUUUGGGAUUGACAUCACCUAAACCAACCACACCGUCUCCGAAACCCUCUUCAUCGUCUUUUAAGCCAAGUCCAUCCCUUAAGCCAACUCUAUCGGAACUAGGGAAAGGAAAGUACAAAACACUCAAUCCAGAGGAUACAUUACCGAUUAAGCCGGUUCUAUAUCCUCCUAGUCCGCUGCCAUCAUUUAAAACAUCAUUCACGGCCCAAAAACCAUCUCCAUCACCUAAAGGACUGACACCACCUAAAUCAACCACACCAUCUCUGAAACCCUCUUCAUCGUCUUGUAAGCCAAGUCCAUCCCUUAAGCCAACUCUAUCGGAACUAGGGAAAGGAAAGUACAAAACAGUCGAUCCAAAGGAUAUGUUACCGAUUUACAUGAUUCCGAAGGAUAUCGAGGAUUUAAUCAAGAGAGACACUGUGCCUGAAAUUUUGAAGAAGCCAUUGUCUGCCUCUUCAUAUCAGGAUUUCUUUGCAGCCCUUCUAUAUGCUGAGGAUUC
This 847-nucleotide long non-coding RNA is filed under the name Gossypium raimondii (Peruvian cotton). Its description in RNAcentral is "long non-coding RNA (GRAI_LNC000859)". Lineage: Eukaryota; Viridiplantae; Streptophyta; Magnoliopsida; Malvales; Malvaceae. The record is from RNAcentral.